RNAcentral lists this ribosomal RNA (380 nucleotides) under Nematoda sp. NEAQ_14_048_L. RNAcentral describes it as "SSU rRNA". It matches the Rfam family "Eukaryotic small subunit ribosomal RNA", at positions 154 to 544 of the family's 1831-position model. Lineage: Eukaryota; Metazoa; Nematoda. RNAcentral also lists the same sequence under 1 other name. The record is from RNAcentral.
AAUUCUGGAGCUAAUACAUGCUUGUAGACCCUGACUUUUGAAAGGGUGCAAUUAUUAGAGCAAAUCAAUCAUUUUCGGAUGUAGUUUGCUGACUCUGAAUAACGCAGCAUAUCGGCGGCUUGUUCGCCGAUAUUCCGAGAAAGUGUCUGCCCUAUCAACCUGAUGGUAGUCUAUUAGUCUACCAUGGUUAUUACGGGUAACGGAGAAUAAGGGUUCGACUCCGGAGAGGGAGCCUUAGAAACGGCUACCACAUCCAAGGAAGGCAGCAGGCGCGAAACUUAUCCAAUCUUGAAUAGAUGAGAUAGUGACUAAAAAUAAAAAGACCAUUCCUAUGGAACGGUUAUUUCAAUGAGUUGAUCAUAAACCUAUUUUUCGAGUAU